Non-coding RNA from Cricetulus griseus (Chinese hamster), 58 nucleotides. The record is from Rfam. NCBI's taxonomy places the organism in Eukaryota, Metazoa, Chordata, Mammalia, Rodentia, Cricetidae.
GGGAAAUGGGUACAGGGGCCAGCCCCAGGCCCCCAAACCCAAACAAGUUUAUGGGGCA